GAGCCGAAGGGAAACCGAGUCUUAACUGGGCGUUAAGUUGCAGGGUAUAGACCCGAAACCCGGUGAUCUAGCCAUGGGCAGGUUGAAGGUUGGGUAACACUAACUGGAGGACCGAACCGACUAAUGUUGAAAAAUUAGCGGAUGACUUGUGGCUGGGGGUGAAAGGCCAAUCAAACCGGGAGAUAGCUGGUUCUCCCCGAAAGCUAUUUAGGUAGCGCCUCGUGAAUUCAUCUCCGGGGGUAGAGCACUGUUUCGGCAAGGGGGUCAUCCCGACUUACCAACCCGAUGCAAACUGCGAAUACCGGAGAAUGUUAUCACGGGAGACACACGGCGGGUGCUAACGUCCGUCGUGAAGAGGGAAACAACCCAGACCGCCAGCUAAGGUCCCAAAGUCAUGGUUAAGUGGGAAACGAUGUGGGAAGGCCCAGACAGCCAGGAUGUUGGCUUAGAAGCAGCCAUCAUUUAAAGAAAGCGUAAUAGCUCACUGGUCGAGUCGGCCUGCGCGGAAGAUGUAACGGGGCUAAACCAUGCACCGAAGCUGCGGCAGCGACGCUGAUGCGUUGUUGGGUAGGGGAGCGUUCUGUAAGCCUGUGAAGGUGUGCUGUGAGGCAUGCUGGAGGUAUCAGAAGUGCGAAUGCUGACAUAAGUAACGAUAAAGCGGGUGAAAAGCCCGCUCGCCGGAAGACCAAGGGUUCCUGUCCAACGUUAAUCGGGGCAGGGUGAGUCGACCCCUAAGGCGAGGCCGAAAGGCGUAGUCGAUGGGAAACAGGUUAAUAUUCCUGUACUUGGUGUUACUGCGAAGGGGGGACGGAGAAGGCUAUGUUGGCCGGGCGACGGUUGUCCCGGUUUAAGCGUGUAGGCUGGUUUUCCAGGCAAAUCCGGAAAACUAAGGCUGAGGCGUGAUGACGAGGCACUACGGUGCUGAAGCAACAAAUGCCCUGCUUCCAGGAAAAGCCUCUAAGCAUCAGGUAACAUCAAAUCGUACCCCAAACCGACACAGGUGGUCAGGUAGAGAAUACCAAGGCGCUUGAGAGAACUCGGGUGAAGGAACUAGGCAAAAUGGUGCCGUAACUUCGGGAGAAGGCACGCUGAUAUGUAGGUGAAGUCCCUCGCGGAUGGAGCUGAAAUCAGUCGAAGAUACCAGCUGGCUGCAACUGUUUAUUAAAAACACAGCACUGUGCAAACACGAAAGUGGACGUAUACGGUGUGACGCCUGCCCGGUGCCGGAAGGUUAAUUGAUGGGGUCAGCGCAAGCGAAGCUCUUGAUCGAAGCCCCGGUAAACGGCGGCCGUAACUAUAACGGUCCUAAGGUAGCGAAAUUCCUUGUCGGGUAAGUUCCGACCUGCACGAAUGGCGUAAUGAUGGCCAGGCUGUCUCCACCCGAGACUCAGUGAAAUUGAACUCGCUGUGAAGAUGCAGUGUACCCGCGGCAAGACGGAAAGACCCCGUGAACCUUUACUAUAGCUUGACACUGAACAUUGAGCCUUGAUGUGUAGGAUAGGUGGGAGGCUUUGAAGUGUGGACGCCAGUCUGCAUGGAGCCGACCUUGAAAUACCACCCUUUAAUGUUUGAUGUUCUAACGUUGACCCGUAAUCCGGGUUGCGGACAGUGUCUGGUGGGUAGUUUGACUGGGGCGGUCUCCUCCUAAAGAGUAACGGAGGAGCACGAAGGUUGGCUAAUCCUGGUCGGACAUCAGGAGGUUAGUGCAAUGGCAUAAGCCAGCUUGACUGCGAGCGUGACGGCGCGAGCAGGUGCGAAAGCAGGUCAUAGUGAUCCGGUGGUUCUGAAUGGAAGGGCCAUCGCUCAACGGAUAAAAGGUACUCCGGGGAUAACAGGCUGAUACCGCCCAAGAGUUCAUAUCGACGGCGGUGUUUGGCACCUCGAUGUCGGCUCAUCACAUCCUGGGGCUGAAGUAGGUCCCAAGGGUAUGGCUGUUCGCCAUUUAAAGUGGUACGCGAGCUGGGUUUAGAACGUCGUGAGACAGUUCGGUCCCUAUCUGCCGUGGGCGCUGGAGAACUGAGGGGGGCUGCUCCUAGUACGAGAGGACCGGAGUGGACGCAUCACUGGUGUUCGGGUUGUCAUGCCAAUGGCACUGCCCGGUAGCUAAAUGCGGAAGAGAUAAGUGCUGAAAGCAUCUAAGCACGAAACUUGCCCCGAGAUGAGUUCUCCCUGACUCCUUGAGAGUCCUGAAGGAACGUUGAAG
RNAcentral lists this ribosomal RNA (2203 nucleotides) under Escherichia coli. Its description in RNAcentral is "partial 23S ribosomal RNA". It matches the Rfam family "Bacterial large subunit ribosomal RNA", at positions 663 to 2843 of the family's 2925-position model. Lineage: Bacteria; Pseudomonadati; Pseudomonadota; Gammaproteobacteria; Enterobacterales; Enterobacteriaceae. The record is from RNAcentral.